Molecule: ribosomal RNA, 494 nt
Filed under: uncultured bacterium
Lineage: Bacteria
Description: partial 16S ribosomal RNA
Rfam family: Bacterial small subunit ribosomal RNA
Source: RNAcentral
GACGAACGCUGGCGGCGUGCCUAAUACAUGCAAGUAGAACGCUGAAGGAGGAGCUUGCUCUUCUGGAUGAGUUGCGAACGGGUGAGUAACGCGUAGGUAACCUGCCUGGUAGCGGGGGAUAACUAUUGGAAACGAUAGCUAAUACCGCAUAACAGUAGAUGUUGCAUGACAUUUGCUUAAAAGGUGCAAUUGCAUCACUACCAGAUGGACCUGCGUUGUAAUAGCUAGUUGGUGGGGUAACGGCUCACCAAGGCGACGAUACAUAGCCGACCUGAGAGGGUGAUCGGCCACACUGGGACUGAGACACGGCCCAGACUCCUACGGGAGGCAGCAGUAGGGAAUCUUCGGCAAUGGACGGAAGUCUGACCGAGCAACGCCGCGUGAGUGAAGAAGGUUUUCGGAUCGUAAAGCUCUGUUGUAAGAGAAGAACGAGUGUGAGAGUGGAAAGUUCACACUGUGACGGUAUCGUACCAGAAAGGGACGGCGAACUACGU